Molecule: ribosomal RNA, 253 nt
Filed under: uncultured bacterium
Lineage: Bacteria
Description: partial 16S ribosomal RNA
Rfam family: Bacterial small subunit ribosomal RNA
Source: RNAcentral
UACGUAGGGCGCAAGCGUUGUCCGGAAUUAUUGGGCGUAAAGAGCUCGUAGGCGGUCUGUUGCGUCCGCUGUGAAAACCCAGGGCUUAACCCUGGGCUUGCAGUGGAUACGGGCAGACUAGAGGCAGGUAGGGGAGAAUGGAAUUCCCGGUGCAGCGGUGAAAUGCGCAGAUAUCGGGAGGAACACCGGUGGCGAAGGCAGUUCUCUGGGCCUGACCUGACGCUGAGGAGCGAAAGCGUGGGGAGCGAACAGG